UGCAGUCGAACGGUGAUAGCAAUAUCAUAGUGGCGCACGGGUGCGUAACACGUAUGCAACCUACCUUAUACUGAGGGAUAGCCUUUCGAAAGGGAGAUUAAUACCUCAUAACACAUUGAACUGGCAUCAGUUUAUUGUUAAAGAUUUAUUGGUAUAAGAUGGGCAUGCGUCCAAUUAGUUAGUCGGCGAGGUAACGGCUCACCAAGACGAUGAUUGGUAGGGGAACUGAGAGGUUAAUCCCCCACACUGGCACUGAGAUACGGGCCAGACUCCUACGGGAGGCAGCAGUAGGGAAUAUUGGGCAACGGAGGCAACUCUGACCCAGCCAUGCCGCGUGCAGGAAGAAGGCGUUAUGCGUUGUAAACUGCUUUUAUAUAGGAAGAAAUAGACCUUGCGAGGUAAGUUGACGGUACUAUAUGAAUAAGCACCGGCUAACUCCGUGCCAGCAGCCGCGGUAAUACGGAGGGUGCAAGCGUUGUCCGGAUUUAUUGGGUUUAAAGGGUGCGUAGGCGGUUUAUUAAGUCAGUGGUGAAAGACGGUCGCUCAACGAUUGCAGUGCCAUUGAUACUGGUAGACUUGAGUGGGAUUGAGGUAGCUGGAAUGGAUAGUGUAGCGGUGAAAUGCAUAGAUAUUAUCCAGAACACCAAUUGCGUAGGCAAGUUACUAAGUCUCAACUGACGCUGAG
This 685-nucleotide ribosomal RNA is filed under the name uncultured bacterium. Its description in RNAcentral is "bacterial SSU rRNA". It matches the Rfam family "Bacterial small subunit ribosomal RNA", at positions 56 to 750 of the family's 1533-position model. The record is from RNAcentral.